Molecule: ribosomal RNA, 350 nt
Filed under: Podarcis melisellensis
Lineage: Eukaryota; Metazoa; Chordata; Lepidosauria; Squamata; Lacertidae
Description: partial 12S ribosomal RNA
Rfam family: Bacterial small subunit ribosomal RNA
Source: RNAcentral
UACUUUCCGCCAGAGAACUACAAGUGAAAAACUUGAAACUCAAAGGACUUGACGGUGUCCCAUAUCGACCUAGAGGAGCCUGUCCUAUAAUCGAUACCCCCCGCUCCACCCAACCUCAACUAGCAAAAUAUCAGCCUAUAUACCGCCGUCGACAGUUUACCCUAUGAAGGCUCAAUAGUAAACACAAUAACCCUAUAACGNUAAUACGUCAGGUCAAGGUGUAGCAAAUGCUGAGGAAGAGAUUGGCUACAUUUUUUAUAAUAAAAAACACGAAUUGCACUAUGAAAUAAUGCAUGAAGGUGAAUUUAGUAGUAAAACAGAUAAGAAUGUCUGUUUUAACAACGCUCUGG